CCUACGGGAGGCAGCAGUCGAGAAUCUUUCUCAAUGGGGGAAACCCUGAUGCUGCGACGCCGCGUGGAGGAAUGAAGGUCUCCGGAUUGUAAACCCCUGUCAUGUGGGAGCAAAUUAAAAUGUUAGUCGCAUAAGAGGCAGCGACGGCUAACCCUGUGCCAGCAGCCGUGGUAAUGCAGAGGUCUCAAGCGUUAUUCGGAAUCACUGGGCGGAAAGGGUGCGUAGGCUGGUUAGUAAGUCAGGUGUGAAAGGCUAGGGCUCAACCCGCGAACUGCACAUGAUACUGCGAGACUAGAGUAAUGGAGAGGGAGGCGGAAUUCUCGGUGUAGCAGUGAAAUGCGUAGAGAUCGAGAGGAACACUCAUGGCGAAGGCGAGUUCCUGGACAAUAACUGACGCUGAGGCGCGAAAGCCAGGGGAGCGAAAGGGAUUAGAUACCCUUGUAGUC
This 446-nucleotide ribosomal RNA is filed under the name uncultured bacterium. RNAcentral's name for it is "partial 16S ribosomal RNA". It matches the Rfam family "Bacterial small subunit ribosomal RNA", at positions 338 to 795 of the family's 1533-position model. The record is from RNAcentral.